RNAcentral lists this ribosomal RNA (719 nucleotides) under uncultured bacterium. Its description in RNAcentral is "bacterial SSU rRNA". It matches the Rfam family "Bacterial small subunit ribosomal RNA", at positions 61 to 778 of the family's 1533-position model. The record is from RNAcentral.
GUCGAACGAAGCACUUUAUUUGAUUUCCUUCGGGACUGAUUAUUUUGUGACCGAGUGGCGGACGGGUGAGUAACGCGUGGGUAACCUGCCUUAUACAGGGGGAUAACAGUUGGAAACGGCUGCUAAUACCGCAUAAGCGCACAGCAUCGCAUGAUGCAGUGUGAAAAACUCCGGUGGUAUAAGAUGGACCCGCGUUGGAUUAGCUAGUUGGUGAGGUAACGGCCCACCAAGGCGACGAUCCAUAGCCGACCUGAGAGGGUGACCGGCCACAUUGGGACUGAGACACGGCCCAAACUCCUACGGGAGGCAGCAGUGGGGAAUAUUGCACAAUGGGCGAAAGCCUGAUGCAGCGACGCCGCGUGAGCGAAGAAGUAUUUCGGUAUGUAAAGCUCUAUCAGCAGGGAAGAUAAUGACGGUACCUGACUAAGAAGCACCGGCUAAAUACGUGCCAGCAGCCGCGGUAAUACGUAUGGUGCAAGCGUUAUCCGGAUUUACUGGGUGUAAAGGGAGCGCAGGCGGUGCGGCAAGUCUGAUGUGAAAGCCCGGGGCUCAACCCCGGUACUGCAUUGGAAACUGUCGUACUAGAGUGUCGGAGGGGUAAGCGGAAUUCCUAGUGUAGCGGUGAAAUGCGUAGAUAUUAGGAGGAACACCAGUGGCGAAGGCGGCUUACUGGACGAUAACUGACGCUGAGGCUCGAAAGCGUGGGGAGCAAACAGGAU